RNAcentral lists this transfer RNA (73 nucleotides) under Alphaproteobacteria bacterium GM7ARS4. Its description in RNAcentral is "tRNA-Lys". It matches the Rfam family "tRNA". Rfam says of the family: Transfer RNA (tRNA) molecules are approximately 80 nucleotides in length. Their secondary structure includes four short double-helical elements and three loops (D, anti-codon, and T loops). Further hydrogen bonds mediate the characteristic L-shaped molecular structure. tRNAs have two regions of fundamental functional importance: the anti-codon, which is responsible for specific mRNA codon recognition, and the 3' end, to which the tRNAs corresponding amino acid is attached (by aminoacyl-tRNA synthetases). tRNAs cope with the degeneracy of the genetic code in two manners: having more than one tRNA (with a specific anti-codon) for a particular amino acid; and 'wobble' base-pairing, i.e. permitting non-standard base-pairing at the 3rd anti-codon position. Lineage: Bacteria; Pseudomonadati; Pseudomonadota; Alphaproteobacteria. The record is from RNAcentral.
GGGCGCGUAGCUCAGUCGGUAGAGCAAGUGACUUUUAAUCACUGGGUCGCAGGUUCGAUUCCUGCCGCGCUCA